UACAUAUCAAUAAGCGGAGGAAAAGAAACCAACAGGGAUUGCCCCAGUAACGGCGAGUGAAGCGGCAACAGCUCAAAUUUGAAAUCUGGCCCCCAGGGCCCGAGUUGUAAUUUGCAGAGGAUGCUUUGGGCGCGGUGCCUUCCGAGUUCCCUGGAACGGGACGCCAUAGAGGGUGAGAGCCCCGUACGGUUGGACACCAAGCCUGUGUAAAGCUCCUUCGACGAGUCGAGUAGUUUGGGAAUGCUGCUCAAAAUGGGAGGUAUAUUUCUUCUAAAGCUAAAUACCGGCCAGAGACCGAUAGCGCACAAGUAGAGUGAUCGAAAGAUGAAAAGCACUUUGAAAAGAGGGUUAAACAGCACGUGAAAUUGUUAAAAGGGAAGCGCUUGUGACCAGACUUGCGCCCGGCGGAUCACCCGGCUCUCGCGGCCGGGGCACUCCGCCGGCUCAGGCCAGCAUCAGCUCGCUGUCGGGGACAAAAGCUUCGGGAACGUGGCUCCCUCCGGGGAGUGUUAUAGCCCGUUGCACAAUACCCUUCGGUGGGCUGAGGUACGCGCUCCGCAAGGAUGCUGGCGUAAUGGUCAUCAGCGACCCGUCUUGAAACACGGACCAAGGAGUCAACCUUAUAUGCGAGUGUUCGGGUGUCAAACCCCUACGCGUAAUGAAAGUGAACGCAGGUGAGAGCUUCGGCGCAUCAUCGACCGAUCCUGAUGUUCUCGGAUGGAUUUGAGUAAGAGCAUAUAGGGUUGGACCCGAAAGAAGGUGAACUAUGCGUGUAUAGGGUGAAGCCAGAGGAAACUCUGGUGGAGGCUCGCAGCGGUUCUGACGUGCAAAUCGAUCGUCAAAUAUGCGCAUGGGGGCGAAAGACUAAUCGAACCUUCUAGUAGCUGGUUUCC
RNAcentral lists this ribosomal RNA (893 nucleotides) under Colletotrichum trifolii. Its description in RNAcentral is "LSU rRNA". It matches the Rfam family "Eukaryotic large subunit ribosomal RNA", at positions 37 to 959 of the family's 3401-position model. The record is from RNAcentral. Lineage: Eukaryota; Fungi; Ascomycota; Sordariomycetes; Glomerellales; Glomerellaceae.